UAGAGUUUGAUAACGGCUCAGAGAGAACGCUGGCGGCAGGCCUAACACAUGCCGUCGAGCGUGAAAGGGGCUUCGGCCCUGAGUAAAGCGGCGCACGGGUGAGUAACACGUGAAUAAUCUGCCCUUUUGACCGGGAUAACAGACCGAAAGGACUGCUAAGACCGGAUAAGCCCACAGACCAACCGGGUCGGUGAGAAAAGAACGGGACCUUCGGGCCGUUCGCGGAAGGAUGAGUUCGCGUUCCAUUAGAUAGUUGGUGAGGUAACGGCCCAUCAAGUCGACGAUGGAUAGCUGGUCUAAGAGGGUAAUCGGCCACAUUGGAACUGAGACACGGUCCAAACUCCUACGGGAGGCAGCAGUGGGGAAUAUUGCACAAUGGCGCAAGCCUGAUACAGGAAACGGCCGCGUGAGCGAUGAAGUCUUCGGAUUGUAAAGCUCUGUCCUUGAGGACGAAAAUUGACGGUACUCUUGGAGGAAGCCCGGCUAACUACGUGCCAGCAGCCGCGGUAUACGUAGGGGGCGAGGCGUUAUCCGGAAUUAUUGGGCGUUAAGAGUACGUA
Molecule: ribosomal RNA, 560 nt
Filed under: uncultured rumen bacterium
Lineage: Bacteria
Description: bacterial SSU rRNA
Rfam family: Bacterial small subunit ribosomal RNA
Source: RNAcentral